CGGACGGGUGAGUAAUGUCUGGGAAACUGCCUGAUGAGGGGGAUAACUACUGGAAACGGUAGCUAAUACCGCAUAACGUCGCAAGACCAAAGAGGGGGACCUUCGGGCCUCUUGCCAUCGGAUGUGCCCAGAUGGGAUUAGCUAGUAGGUGGGGUAAAGGCUCACCUAGGCGACGAUCCCUAGCUGGUCUGAGAGGAUGACCAGCCACACUGGAACUGAGACACGGUCCAG
Molecule: ribosomal RNA, 231 nt
Filed under: uncultured bacterium
Lineage: Bacteria
Description: partial 16S ribosomal RNA
Rfam family: Bacterial small subunit ribosomal RNA
Source: RNAcentral